RNAcentral lists this ribosomal RNA (3316 nucleotides) under Thermoplasmata archaeon. Its description in RNAcentral is "bacterial LSU rRNA". It matches the Rfam family "Bacterial large subunit ribosomal RNA", at positions 450 to 2925 of the family's 2925-position model. Lineage: Archaea; Methanobacteriati; Thermoplasmatota; Thermoplasmata. The record is from RNAcentral.
GGACCACCCUCCAAGGCUAAAUACUCGGUGGCGACCGAUAGUGCACUAGUACCGUGAGGGAAAGGUGAAAAGAACCCCAGUGCGGGGAGUGAAAAGAACCUGAAACCGUGUGCCUACAAGCGGUCGGAGGCUUGCCUCUCAUGCCUCUUCGGAGGCAUUAUUGGGAGGCGGCUGACGGCGUGCCUAUUGAAUAAUGAGCCGGCGAGUUACUCUCAGUCGCCAGGUUAACCGCCUCAGGCGGGGAGCCGUAGCGAAAGCGAGUCCGAACAGGGCGUCAAAGUGGCUGGGAGUAGACCCGAAACCGGGCGAGCUACCCAUGGGCAGGGUGAAGUCCGGGUAAUACCGGACGGAGGCCCGAACCUCAGAGCGGUGAAAAGCUCGUGGAUGACCUGUGGGUAGGGGUGAAAGUCCAAACAAGCCCGGAGAUAGCUGGUUCUCCCCGAUAUGCCUUUAGGGGCAGCCUCGGGUGGACCGUGCAGGAGGUAGAGCACUGUUUGGGCUAGGGCCCGUAAGGGUACCAAACCCAGGCAAACUCCGAAUGCCUGCACGCAAUACCCGGGAGUGAGGUGAUGGGGGAUAAGCUCCAUCACCGUGAGGAAAACAAUCCAGACCGCCAGCUAAGGUCCCCAAAUCCAGGCUAAGUGGUGAAGGAUGUGGGGCUGCGCAGACAGCCGGGAGGUUGGCUUAGAGGCAGCCAUCCUUUAAAGAGUGCGUAAAAGCUCACCGGUCGAGUGGUUCUGCGCCGAAAAUGAUCGGGGCUUAAGCCUGGUACCGAAGCUGCGGGUCAGGGUAUGCGUUGCAUGCCCUGGCGGUAGGGGAGCGUUCCCAGCGCGGUGAAGGCAGACCGUGAGGCUUGCUGGAGCGCUGGGAAGUGAUUAUGCCGGCAUGAGUAGCGAUAAAGCGGGUGAGAACCCUGCUCGCCGAAAGCCUAAGGUUUCCUGGGGAAGGUCAGUCCUCCCAGGGUUAGGCGGCCCCUAAGCCGAGGCCGAAAGGCGUAGGUGAUGGGAAGCCGGUUAAUAUUCCGGCCCCACCCAGCUGGAGCGAAGGGGGGACGCAGAAGGAGAGGGCAGCGCGGCGCUGGUCGUCCGCGUCUAAGGGCGUAGGAGGUGGGCGAGGCAAAUCCUUGCCCACAUAAAACUCCGAGACCCGAUGGGGACCCCGAUUAAAAUCGGGGGAACUGCCCGGUCUCCACGCUGCCGAGAAAAGCCCCUAAGCGUUGAAGGCUGGGUGACCGUACCGCAAACCGACACAGGUAGGCGAGGUGAGUAUCCAAAGGCGCACGAGUUAUCCGUCCUCAAGGAACUCGGCAAUUUGGCCCCGUAACUUCGGGAGAUGGGGCGCUCCGAGUAGGUGUAGUAGCUCGCCUACGAAGCCGAAAGGAGCCGCAGAUAAUCGGGCCUGGCGACUGUUUAUCAAAAACACAGGUCUCUGCUAACCCCUAAAGGGGAAGUAUAGGGACUGACGCCUGCCCAGUGCCGGAAGGUUAAGGGGAGCCGUUAUCCCGAGUUUUCGGGAGAAGCGGUGAACCGAAGCCCCGGUAAACGGCGGCCGUAACUAUAACGGUCCUAAGGUAGCGAAAUUCCUUGUCGGGUAAGUGGACAACUUGCCCCUCCAUCCCGCGAGGGAUGGUGCAAAAGCCGGCUUAUAUCGGGGAAGCCCUCCUGUCAGUGCGGGCUGGCAGUGGGUAACCCCGAGGGAAGUCGCCUCGGUCCCCAACCGAGGUUGACCCCGUAGAGACUGACCCGAAAGGGGAGCCCCGAAAAAUAUUUCGGGGAAUACGCCGGCCCCUCACUAUAACCCCAUUUUGUGGGGGAAGCAACUAUGGAGGACCUCCUUGAUAACUCUAAACCCGGAGGGAAAAUGCAUCCGUGGUAUGUGACCGGACUGGUGGAAGGUGAAGGAUGCUUUUCGGUGUCCUUUAACAAGCGAGCCAGGCUGAAGGUUGGAAUAGAAACUCGACCUUCAUUCUCGGUUAGUCUUGCCAGCCGGGACCUGGAGUUGAUUAAGGCUCUGAGGGAUUUUUUCGGAUGUGGCGGAAUACGGUUCUGCAGGCAGGACCGCACUUACAAAUACGAAGUGCGCUCUAUAGACGACCUGUGGAAGCGGAUUAUUCCCCACUUCAGGAAAUUCCCGCUAAGAGGUAGCAAAGCUGAGGAUUUCGAGAAGUUCGUCGAGAUAUGCGAUUUGGUAAGAAGGAGCCAUCAUCUAAAUCCGGAGUACCUGAGACAUAUAAUAGAAUUAGCAUAUAGUAUGAAUGUCUCGGGGAAACGGAGGUAUGGGAAGGAGGAACUCCUACGGUUGCUUCGUGAGGUGAAGAGAUAGUCCACCACCGAUGGAAACAUCGGGAAAAGGUGAAGUUCCGACCCGCACGAAUGGCGUAACGACUGGGCCAGUGUCUCGAGGACGGGCUCGGCGAAAUUGGAGUCGCGGUGAAGAUACCGCGUACCCGCGCCGGGACGGAAAGACCCCGGAACCUUUACUGCAGUCUGGUGUUGGGUUCUGGCAUAUCGUGCGUAGGAUAGGUGGGAGGCUGUGAAGCACCGACUCCGGUCGGUGUGGAGCCGCCCUUGAAAUACCACCCUCGGUAUGUCGGGGCUCUAACCCACCGCCUAUAAGUACGGGCGGGGGGACAGCGCCUGGCGGGCAGUUUGACUGGGGCGGUUGCCUCCUAAAAGGUAACGGAGGCGCCCAAAGGUCCCCUCAGCUCCGUUGGAAAUGGAGCGUUGAGUGUAAAGGCAUAAGGGGGCUUGACUGCGAGACCGACAGGUCGAGCAGGUGCGAAAGCAGGGCUUAGUGAUCUGGCACCCCCGUGUGGAAGGGGUGUCACUUAACGGAUAAAAGGUACUCCGGGGAUAACAGGCUGAUCGGGCCCGAGAGUUCACAUCGACGGCCCGGUUUGGCACCUCGAUGUCGGCUCGUCGCAUCCUGGGGCUGAAUCAGGUCCCAAGGGUUGGGCUGUUCGCCCAUUAAAGCGGCACGUGAGCUGGGUUCAGAACGUCGUGAGACAGUUCGGUCCCUAUCUGGCGCGGGCGUAGGAGGCUUGAGGGGGUCUGUCCCUAGUACGAGAGGACCGGGACGGGCGAGCCCCUGGUGUACCAGCUGUCGCGCCAGCGGCACAGCUGGGUAGCUAUGCUCGAUAGUGAUAAGCGCUGAAAGCAUCUAAGCGCGAAGCACCCCCCAAGAUAAGGCCUCCCGUGUCCCGAUUAGUCGGGACCCUGAAGGGCCCAGGGAGACUACCUGGUUGAUAGGCGGCAGGUGUAAGCGCCGCGAGGCGUUGAGCCGAGCCGUACUAAUAGCCCGUGAGUCUUAACCAAAC